This 1296-nucleotide ribosomal RNA is filed under the name Rhabdophis nuchalis (Hubei keelback). RNAcentral's name for it is "partial 16S ribosomal RNA". It matches the Rfam family "Bacterial large subunit ribosomal RNA", at positions 433 to 2606 of the family's 2925-position model. Lineage: Eukaryota; Metazoa; Chordata; Lepidosauria; Squamata; Natricidae. The record is from RNAcentral.
UGAGCUGGAAAUUUACCCCACAAAAAUCUCCCAUACACCACACAAACCAUUUGACAGACCAAGUAGAUGUGAUCGAACAGUAAACACGCACAACCAGUACCGCAAGGGAACACACUUUAAGCAACAAAUAGCAAAGAUUGACCCUUGUACCUUUCGCAUCAUGGUUUAGCAAGAAACCUAAGACAAGAAGAAUCGUAGUCUACACCCCGAAACCAGAUGAGCUACUUUAAAGCAGCUAAAUAGAGCACACCCUUCUCUGUAGCAAAAGAGUGGGAAGACUUAAAAGUAGAGGUGAAACGCCCAUCGAAUCUGGAGAUAGCUGGCUGUCCAAAAAAGAAUCUAAGUUCAACUUUAGACCAAAUAGUAAACUCUUACCCUCUAAAGGAAAUCAAUAGGGGUACAGCUCUAUUGAAACAGGAAACAACCUGAAUUUGAGAGGACAAAUCAACGAACUAACCAGUAGGACUUAAAGCAACCACCUAACAAAAUAUCGUUAAAGAAUUUAUAUAAAAAUAAUUCAACCUAAUUCAACCUCCAAACAAACUAAAGACGAACCCAUAACUUAUGGGUAACACAAUGCUAAAACUAAUAAUAAGACGACCUCUCUUCACACACUUAUCCGCUAGAAACGGAAAAACCACUAGUCAUUAACAGACCACAAUAGGCACACUCUACACCACUUCCCAAUCGCCAACCGACUGUAAAUCCAACACAGGUGUGUAAAAAAGAAGAUUAACUAUUAUAAAAGGAACUCGGCAACCAAAAACCCCAACUGUUUAACAAAAACAUAACCUUUAGCCAAACAAAUAUUAAAGGCAAUGCCUGCCCAGUGAACAAUUAAACGGCCGCGGUACCCUAACCGUGCAAAGGUAGCAUAAUCAUUUGUCUAUUAACUGUAGACCUGUAUGAAAGGCAAAAUGAGGGUUUAACUGUCUCUUAUGAUAAAUCUAUUAAACUGAUCUCCCAGUAAAAAAGCUGGGAUACUCCCAUAAGACCAGAAGACCCUGUGAAGCUUUAACUAAACUAUUAAACCAAAUAAUAACUACUUUAGGUUGGGGCGACCUUGGAAAAAAAAAGAACUUCCAACAUAACAAAUACCACCAAGGCCUACAAGCCAAUUAACGACCCAGUAACACUGAUAAUCGAACUAAGUUACUCCAGGGAUAACAGCGCCAUCUUCUUCAAGAGCCCAUAUCAAAAAGAAGGUUUACGACCUCGAUGUUGGAUCAGGACACCCCAAUGGUGCAACCGCUAUUAAAGGUUCGUUUGUUCAACGAUUAAUGUCCUACGUGAUCU